This 1454-nucleotide ribosomal RNA is filed under the name Salmonella enterica subsp. enterica. RNAcentral's name for it is "partial 23S ribosomal RNA". It matches the Rfam family "Bacterial large subunit ribosomal RNA", at positions 1365 to 2802 of the family's 2925-position model. The record is from RNAcentral. Lineage: Bacteria; Pseudomonadati; Pseudomonadota; Gammaproteobacteria; Enterobacterales; Enterobacteriaceae.
UUAAUCGGGGCAGGGUGAGUCGACCCCUAAGGCGAGGCCGAAAGGCGUAGUCGAUGGGAAACGGGUUAAUAUUCCCGUACUUGGUGUUACUGCGAAGGGGGGACGGAGAAGGCUAUGUUGGCCGGGCGACGGUUGUCCCGGUUUAAGCGUGUAGGUGUGUGUUCCAGGUAAAUCCGGUUCACUUUAACACUGAGGCGUGAUGACGAGGCACUACGGUGCUGAAGCAACAAAUGCCCUGCUUCCAGGAAAAGCCUCUAAGCAUCAGGUAACAUCAAAUCGUACCCCAAACCGACACAGGUGGUCAGGUAGAGAAUACCAAGGCGCUUGAGAGAACUCGGGUGAAGGAACUAGGCAAAAUGGUGCCGUAACUUCGGGAGAAGGCACGCUGACACGUAGGUGAAGUGAUUUACUCACGGAGCUGAAGUCAGUCGAAGAUACCAGCUGGCUGCAACUGUUUAUUAAAAACACAGCACUGUGCAAACACGAAAGUGGACGUAUACGGUGUGACGCCUGCCCGGUGCCGGAAGGUUAAUUGAUGGGGUCAGCGCAAGCGAAGCUCCUGAUCGAAGCCCCGGUAAACGGCGGCCGUAACUAUAACGGUCCUAAGGUAGCGAAAUUCCUUGUCGGGUAAGUUCCGACCUGCACGAAUGGCGUAAUGAUGGCCAGGCUGUCUCCACCCGAGACUCAGUGAAAUUGAACUCGCUGUGAAGAUGCAGUGUACCCGCGGCAAGACGGAAAGACCCCGUGAACCUUUACUAUAGCUUGACACUGAACAUUGAGCCUUGAUGUGUAGGAUAGGUGGGAGGCUUUGAAGUGUGGACGCCAGUCUGCAUGGAGCCGACCUUGAAAUACCACCCUUUAAUGUUUGAUGUUCUAACGUGGACCCGUAAUCCGGGUUGCGGACAGUGUCUGGUGGGUAGUUUGACUGGGGCGGUCUCCUCCUAAAGAGUAACGGAGGAGCACGAAGGUUGGCUAAUCCUGGUCGGACAUCAGGAGGUUAGUGCAAUGGCAUAAGCCAGCUUGACUGCGAGCGUGACGGCGCGAGCAGGUGCGAAAGCAGGUCAUAGUGAUCCGGUGGUUCUGAAUGGAAGGGCCAUCGCUCAACGGAUAAAAGGUACUCCGGGGAUAACAGGCUGAUACCGCCCAAGAGUUCAUAUCGACGGCGGUGUUUGGCACCUCGAUGUCGGCUCAUCACAUCCUGGGGCUGAAGUAGGUCCCAAGGGUAUGGCUGUUCGCCAUUUAAAGUGGUACGCGAGCUGGGUUUAGAACGUCGUGAGACAGUUCGGUCCCUAUCUGCCGUGGGCGCUGGAGAACUGAGGGGGGCUGCUCCUAGUACGAGAGGACCGGAGUGGACGCAUCACUGGUGUUCGGGUUGUCAUGCCAAUGGCACUGCCCGGUAGCUAAAUGCGGAAGAGAUAAGUGCUGAAAGCAUCUAAGCACGAAACUUGCCCCGA